UUGUUGGGUAGGGGAGCGUUCUGUAAGCCGUUGAAGGUGACCUGUGAGGGUUGCUGGAGGUAUCAGAAGUGCGAAUGCUGACAUAAGUAACGAUAAUGCGGGUGAAAAACCCGCACGCCGGAAGACCAAGGGUUCCUGUCCAACGUUAAUCGGGGCAGGGUGAGUCGACCCCUAAGGCGAGGCUGAAAAGCGUAGUCGAUGGGAAACAGGUUAAUAUUCCUGUACUUGGUGUUACUGCGAAGGGGGGACGGAGAAGGCUAGGCUGGCCGGGCGACGGUUGUCCCGGUUUAAGCGUGUAGGGGGAGUGACCAGGUAAAUCCGGUUGCUUAUCAACCCUGAGGCGUGAUGACGAUGCACCACGGUGCAGAAGCAGUUGAUGCCAUGCUUCCAGGAAAAGCCUCUAAGCAUCAGGUAACAUUAAAUCGUACCCCAAACCGACACAGGUGGUCAGGUAGAGAAUACUCAGGCGCUUGAGAGAACUCGGGUGAAGGAACUAGGCAAAAUGGUGCCGUAACUUCGGGAGAAGGCACGCUGGCGUUAGGUGAAAGGACUAGCUCCUGGAGCUGAAGCCAGUCGCAGAUACCAGCUGGCUGCAACUGUUUAAUAAAAACACAGCACUGUGCAAACACGAAAGUGGACGUAUACGGUGUGACGCCUGCCCGGUGCUGGAAGGUUAAUUGAUGGGGUCAGCCGCAAGGGGAAGCUCUUGAUCGAAGCCCCAGUAAACGGCGGCCGUAACUAUAACGGUCCUAAGGUAGCGAAAUUCCUUGUCGGGUAAGUUCCGACCUGCACGAAUGGCGUAAUGAUGGCCAGGCUGUCUCCACCCGAGACUCAGUGAAAUUGAACUCGCUGUGAAGAUGCAGUGUACCCGCGGCAAGACGGAAAGACCCCGUGAACCUUUACUAUAGCUUGACACUGAACAUUGAGCCUUGAUGUGUAGGAUAGGUGGGAGGCCUUGAAGUGUGGACGCCAGUCUGCAUGGAGCCAACCUUGAAAUACCACCCUUUAAUGUUUGAUGUUCUAACUCGGCCCCAUGAUCUGGGGUGAGGACAGUGUCUGGUGGGUAGUUUGACUGGGGCGGUCUCCUCCCAAAGAGUAACGGAGGAGCACGAAGGUUAGCUAAUCACGGUCGGACAUCGUGAGGUUAGUGCAAAGGCAUAAGCUAGCUUGACUGCGAGAGUGACGGCUCGAGCAGGUACGAAAGUAGGUCUUAGUGAUCCGGUGGUUCUGAAUGGAAGGGCCAUCGCUCAACGGAUAAAAGGUACUCCGGGGAUAACAGGCUGAUACCGCCCAAGAGUUCAUAUCGACGGCGGUGUUUGGCACCUCGAUGUCGGCUCAUCACAUCCUGGGGCUGAAGUAGGUCCCAAGGGUAUGGCUGUUCGCCAUUUAAAGUGGUACGCGAGCUGGGUUUAGAACGUCGUGAGACAGUUCGGUCCCUAUCUGCCGUGGGCGUUGGAAGAUUGAGAGGGGCUGCUCCUAGUACGAGAGGACCGGAGUGGACGAAUCACUGGUGUUCGGGUUGUCAUGCCAAUGGCAUUGCCCGGUAGCUAAAUUCGGAAGAGAUAACCGCUGAAAGCAUCUAAGCGGGAAACUUGCCUCGAGAUGAGUCUUCCCUGGGGCUUAAAGCCCCCUGAAGGAACGUUAAAGACUAUGACGUUGAUAGGCUGGGUGUGUAAGUGCAGCGAUGUAUUGAGCUAACCAGUACUAAUGAUCCGUGAGGCUUAACC
This 1727-nucleotide ribosomal RNA is filed under the name Yersinia pestis 34008. Its description in RNAcentral is "bacterial LSU rRNA". It matches the Rfam family "Bacterial large subunit ribosomal RNA", at positions 1221 to 2925 of the family's 2925-position model. Lineage: Bacteria; Pseudomonadati; Pseudomonadota; Gammaproteobacteria; Enterobacterales; Yersiniaceae. RNAcentral also lists the same sequence under 4 other names. The record is from RNAcentral.